GAUGAAGAACGCAGCGAAAUGCGAUACUUGGUGUGAAUUGCAGAAUCCCGUGAACCAUCGAGUCUUUGAACGCAAGUUGCGCCCGAAGCCAUUAGGCCGAGGGCACGCCUGCCUGGGCGUCGCACGUCGUUGCCCCCCCAUCUACUCCUUCGGGAUUGCGGGGGGCGGAUGAUGGCCUCCCGUGCGCCUCGUCGCGCGGUUGGCAUAAAUACCAAGUCCUCGGCGACGCACGCCACGACAAUCGGUGGUUGCGAAACCUCGGUUGCCCGUCGUGUGCGGUCGUCGCGCAUCGAGGGCUCGAAAAAAUUGCCGGGCUCCGGCUCGGCUUUCAACGCGACCCCAGGUCAGGCGGGGUUACCCGCUGAAUUUAAGCAUAUCAAUAAGCGGAGGA
Molecule: unclassified non-coding RNA, 391 nt
Filed under: soil metagenome
Description: partial contains 5.8S ribosomal RNA, internal transcribed spacer 2, and large subunit ribosomal RNA
Rfam family: 5.8S ribosomal RNA (bases 1-122)
Source: RNAcentral